GCAAGAAUGGGGGCGAGUCUACUUUGAAAUAUUAUAAUGACAUAUUUCGUGGACUCUACCCAUUAUUUGGGGAAUCUGAGUCAGACAAUGCUGUUAGGGAUAAUGCAGCUGGUGCAGUCGCAAGAAUGAUAAUGGUGCACCCUGAAGCUGUCCCAUUGAAUCAGGUCCUCCAAGUUUUUCUGAAAGCUCUACCCUUAAAAGAAGACCACGAG
RNAcentral lists this unclassified non-coding RNA (212 nucleotides) under Hevea brasiliensis (rubber tree). Lineage: Eukaryota; Viridiplantae; Streptophyta; Magnoliopsida; Malpighiales; Euphorbiaceae. The record is from RNAcentral.